Cynara cardunculus var. scolymus (artichoke) is the source of this 115-nucleotide long non-coding RNA. RefSeq lists it as uncharacterized. NCBI's taxonomy places the organism in Eukaryota, Viridiplantae, Streptophyta, Magnoliopsida, Asterales, Asteraceae. The record is from RefSeq and is a predicted model, not a curated record. The transcript is spliced from 3 exons.
UUUUCAUCUAAUCGUCAAAUUAAGGUAGCACGGCGGAUAAGCAAGUUGGGCACCGGCGGGAUCUCAACUAAAUAGGCUAAGGAACUGGUUCAAGUGAUUGUGCUAGCAACAUUCU